UCCUUUUUCUCCUACCAGCUUGCCUCUUGCUAUUGGCAUGUCUUGCAGGGAGCAGAAGGCCCCACACUGGGCAGUAACACUUUUAUUGUGCUACAUUUCUCCUUAUGGACUACUUUAGCAGCAAACCACAAGUUUUGCAGGCAGAAUGUCUUGGAAGCUGUUUGUUGUGCUCCAUAUGGUACCUUGGUCCACGUCAUACCCAAGAGACUGUGAUCUUGCCAAGAGCAGGGACCAUGCCUGCAUUGUUUACUACUGGAUCCCAUUGCCUAGCACAAUGCCUUUUCCAUGAGUGUUUCAUAGACAAGCCCCACAGAAUUUCUUUCUCUCAGGAGGGAAAACAGGAAUGACCAUAUCCUAUAAAUGAAGAAAGAAAGGGAUGACUUGUCCGAGUCCAAAUGACAAAAGUAAGAAUUAUGUCUCUUUUUCAUCGUGGAUCUCCAGCCUCUGACACAGUGCCAGGCUCACAAUCGAUCUUCAGUAAAUAUUUGUUCCAUGAGAAAGAAUACGUGAAUGUAUCAAAGACAUUGUUGAUACUAAAGAACCUCAAAUGGGACUGUCUGGAUGUGUCUGAUGAGGUGCUGGGGCCUUACCCUCAUCAAGCAUCUCUUUGCAACUUUUGAUCUACUUGGGGAGAGGAGGUACAGUAGGCAGAAUUUGAAGAUGACCUCCAAUGACCCUUGCCUUUAUAUAAUCUCCUCUCCUUGAGAGUGGGUGAAACCUUUAUGAGAUGUUACUUUAUGAUUGAGUUGUGUUAUAUGAUACAGUUGACUUCAAGAAAAGAAAAUUAUCCUCGGUGGACCCAGCCUAUUCACUUGGGCCCUUGAAAGGGACUGGGCUCUCCCUGAAGAAAUUAGAAGUAUAAGAGGGAUUCGAUGCAAGGGAGAUUCCCUGUUGAUGGCUUUGAAGAUAAAGGAGGCCACAUGGCAAGGAAUAUGGGUGGCUUCUAGGAGCUGAGAGUGGCUCCUGACUAACAGCCAGCAAGGAAAUGGAGACCUCAGUCCUACAACCACAAAGAACUGAAUUGGCCAACAACCGUAAUGAGUUUACAAGUGGAUCCUUCCCUAGAGCAUCCAGAUGAGAACUCAAGCUGGCUGAUACCUUGAUUUCCACUAUAGAAGACCCUGAGCAGAGAUCCCAGUCGAGAUGCACUCAGAUUUCUGAUCUGCAGAAACUAUAAUAAA
Molecule: long non-coding RNA, 1181 nt
Organism: Diceros bicornis minor
Lineage: Eukaryota; Metazoa; Chordata; Mammalia; Perissodactyla; Rhinocerotidae
Exons: 6
Source: RefSeq, a predicted model, not a curated record